This 1537-nucleotide long non-coding RNA is filed under the name Equus caballus (horse). Its description in RNAcentral is "lncRNA (ENSECAG00000056726.1)". The record is from RNAcentral. Lineage: Eukaryota; Metazoa; Chordata; Mammalia; Perissodactyla; Equidae.
ACUUGGGCUGGUGAAUAAAAACUCAGCAUUGCUCACUGUCUACUUCGGAUUCACCCAUAAAUGCUGCCACCCACUUUCGGCUGCCUAUCAAAUAUUUUCUAAGUGCCUAUUAUGUGUCAAGAUAGUUUCUUUCAGGGCCAGCCCGGUGGGGUAGUGGUUAAGUUCACACCCUCCACUUCGGUGGCCCAGGGUUUGUAGGUUCAGAUCCUGAGAGCAGACCUACACACCACUCAUCAAGCCAUGCUGAGGUGAGGUCCCACAUAGGAAAUAGAGGAAGACUGGCACAGAUGUCAGCUUAGGGACAAUCUUCCUCAAGCAAAAAGAGGAAGAUUGGCAAUAGAUGUGAGCACAGGGCCAAUCUUCCUCACAAAAAAAAAAAAAAUUUAAAUAUAGAUAUAUAUGUAGUUUCUUUCACUGAGGAAUGGGGAUAACUGUGAGUCCAGUAGUCAGCCGGUAAUACCACUUGGUUAGAUGAGACCAAGAGCUCCAUCAACGCAGGAGGGUGUCAAUCCUGGUCAAAGGGCCAGUGGGUCACACAGACUUAUUUCAAGCUUGCUGUAGUUAACUAAAUAAAAAAAUCUUCUAACUAAUUUUGUAAAUACGAUUUUGUGUGUGUCAAGACCAACUACUGUAAUCAUUUCUUGGUAUAUGGUAUGUUAUUCUAGAUCUUCAAGUCAAACGAUGACUCAAUCUGAUACACAAAAAACUAACAGCCACAGAACUAAGACCUCACUACAAACUGCAAAGAAACUAGAUUUUUUGCUUACAAUAAUUAAAGGUUUAAAGAAAUUUCAAGAUAAGUGACUUCAUCUUCUUACUCUUGCUUAGAUAUCAGUUUCUCCACUUAGAGUUUAAAUUGGGCUAAAUGGUAGUAAGGAAGAAUUUGUGGGCUACAAUGUAAUGAAUAAUUCCUCCAACCCAGAUCAUUUUCCUUGUAAAACUAGGGGCUUGUUAAGAAGUAGGCUGCAGGGUUCACAGAUCCGACAUGGCCAUUUUGGCAUAAUUUGAAGGACAGGUUUGCAUAAGUUUGCAUGAGUUGCAUGAAUUCCUCCUUCCAGUCUUUCCGAGCUUCAGGCAAUUAUAGGUAACUCCAGGCUACCUGGCUCUGGACACAUCUUCUCCUCCUCACUCCUCUUCCUCCCAAGGGUGGCUCUGUACUGUCUAAAAAUAAAUGGUUCAUAUUCCUAAGGAAUGUUUGCAAUUUAUUUGGCACUCAGGAUACAGCUUCUCAUAGUAACAGUAUCAUAAAUAGUGAUUAGGUUUCCAGUCCAACCUACAGAAACAUUUUUUUUAAUUCCUUAUAUACCUGAGGUAAUAAAUGCUGGUCAUAGGUAGAACCUAGGUGGGAGGGGAGCUAAGGGCCUGAGGCAGUAACAAGGAGGAAAGGAGUCUGCAGGGACAAAGAGGAAGGCUGCUUUCAUUUACCCUUCUUGCAAUGCCUCUUAACAUCGGCCUAAAGCAAUGAGCAAUCACCCCUUUGGCUUGCUCUGCCUUCCCAUCCUCCUCUUUAAUACCAGCCCUCAAGGGGAAGAAGACC